GUCUAUGGCCAUACCACCCUGAACAUGCCUGAUCGCAUCUGAUCUCAUCUGAUCUCAGAAGCUACGCAAGGAUGGCCCUGGAUAGUACUUGGAAAGGAAACCUUGGGUAAGUUC
This is a ribosomal RNA of Otolemur garnettii (small-eared galago), 114 nucleotides long. The record is from Ensembl. Lineage: Eukaryota; Metazoa; Chordata; Mammalia; Primates; Galagidae.